AUGAAGUCCAUCGGCAGCCGGGACAAGCUGCAGGCGGCGGCGGCGGCGACGGGGCCCCGGCGGGUGCUGCUGCUGGUCUUCGCCUCCUGCUUCGCCUUCGCCACGCUGCUCACCUUCCUCUACACCUCCUCCGGCUUCGCCUCCGCCGCGUCCUCCGGCUCGCGCCUGGCCUCGGGCUCCUCGUCGGGCGCGGCGGCCGGGUCCGGCGCCGCGCUGCCGCUGCCGGUGUUCGACGCGCUGGUCCACUACGCCUCCUUCUCCAACGCCACGCACCGGAUGACGGACACGGACAUCCGGGCCAUCUCCGCCAUCCUGCGCGCGCGCGGGCCCUGCAACCUCCUCGUCUUCGGCCUGGGCGCCGAGUCGCCGCUCUGGCUCGCGCUCAACCACGGCGGCCGCACCGUGUACCUGGACGAGAACGAGUUCUACGUCAAGUACCUGGAGCCGCGCCACCCGGGGCUGGAGGCCUACGACGUCUCCUACACCACCAAGGUGCGGGACUUCCGGGACCUGCUGGAGGCGGCCCGGGGCUCGCGCGCCGCCGAGUGCCGGCCGGUGCAGAACCUGCUCUUCUCCGAGUGCCGGCUCGCCAUCAACGACCUGCCCAACGAGCUCUACGACGUGCCCUGGGACGUGGUGCUCAUCGACGGGCCGUCCGGGUGGAACCCCAACUCGCCCGGGCGGAUGCCGUCCAUCUUCACCACCGCCGUGCUCGCCCGCUCCGGCGCCACCGCCGCCAAGGGCCCCACGGACGUGCUGGUGCACGACUUCAACUUCGAGGUGGAGCAGGUGCUGAGCAAGGAGUUCCUCUGCGACGAGAACCGCGUCGCCGGCAGCGGCACGCCGUCCCUCGCGCACUUCGUGAUCCGCCCCGGCGGCCCCGCCGACGCCUUCUGCGCCGCCGGCCAGGACAGCCGGGCCACGUCCGAGGAGAAGACCCGCCGCAAGUAA
Molecule: ribosomal RNA, 951 nt
Filed under: Triticum aestivum (bread wheat)
Lineage: Eukaryota; Viridiplantae; Streptophyta; Magnoliopsida; Poales; Poaceae
Description: partial small subunit ribosomal RNA
Source: RNAcentral